GAUGAACGCUGGCGGCGUGCCUAAUACAUGCAAGUCGAGCGAACGGACGAGAAGCUUGCUUUUCUGAUGUUAGCGGCGGACGGGUGAGUAACACGUGGAUAACCUACCUAUAAGACUGGGAUAACUUCGGGAAACCGGAGCUAAUACCGGAUAAUAUUUUGAACCGCAUGGUUCAAAAGUGAAAGACGGUCUUGCUGUCACUUAUAGAUGGAUCCGCGCUGCAUUAGCUAGUUGGUAAGGUAACGGCUUACCAAGGCAACGAUGCAUAGCCGACCUGAGAGGGUGGUCGGCCACACUGGAACUGAGACACGGUCCAGACUCCUAAGGGAGGCAGCAGUAGGGAAUCUUCCGCAAUGGGCGAAAGCCUGACGGAGCAACGCCGCGUGAGUGAUGAAGGUCUUCGGAUCGUAAAACUCUGUUAUUAGGGAAGAACAUAUGUGUAAGUAACUGUGCACAUCUUGACGGUACCUAAUCAGAAAGCCACGGCUAACUACGUG
This 497-nucleotide ribosomal RNA is filed under the name uncultured bacterium. RNAcentral describes it as "partial 16S ribosomal RNA". It matches the Rfam family "Bacterial small subunit ribosomal RNA", at positions 28 to 507 of the family's 1533-position model. The record is from RNAcentral.